RNAcentral lists this ribosomal RNA (253 nucleotides) under uncultured bacterium. RNAcentral describes it as "partial 16S ribosomal RNA". It matches the Rfam family "Bacterial small subunit ribosomal RNA", at positions 524 to 776 of the family's 1533-position model. The record is from RNAcentral.
GACGAACCGUACAAACGUUAUUCGGAAUUACUGGGCUUAAAGGGUGCGUAGGCGGCGUGGCAAGUUGGGUGUGAAAUCCCUCGGCUUAACCGAGGAACUGCGCCCAAUACUGCCGUGCUCGAGGGAGACAGAGGUGAGCGGAACUUAGGGUGGAGCGGUGAAAUGCGUUGAUAUCCUAAGGAACACCUGUGGCGAAAGCGGCUCACUGGGUCUCUUCUGACGCUGAGGCACGAAAGCUAGGGUAGCGAACGGG